This 76-nucleotide transfer RNA is filed under the name Geothrix sp. Its description in RNAcentral is "tRNA-Phe". It matches the Rfam family "tRNA". From Rfam's summary of the family: Transfer RNA (tRNA) molecules are approximately 80 nucleotides in length. Their secondary structure includes four short double-helical elements and three loops (D, anti-codon, and T loops). The record is from RNAcentral. RNAcentral also lists the same sequence under 1 other name. Lineage: Bacteria; Pseudomonadati; Acidobacteriota; Holophagae; Holophagales; Holophagaceae.
GCCUGGGUAGCUCAGUUGGUAGAGCAAUGGACUGAAAAUCCAUGUGUCGGCGGUUCAAUUCCGUCUCCAGGCACCA